This is a long non-coding RNA of Chenopodium quinoa (quinoa), 2762 nucleotides long. RefSeq lists it as uncharacterized. The record is from RefSeq and is a predicted model, not a curated record. Lineage: Eukaryota; Viridiplantae; Streptophyta; Magnoliopsida; Caryophyllales; Amaranthaceae. The transcript is spliced from 10 exons.
UAAAUUACAAUUGGCGGAGUGGGGAUUCGAACCCGUGUACACGAGUCCUCAAUCUUUGUCGCCGAGCCAAGACUUGGUUGGUUGCUAUUGUUCAAUGUGAAUUCCCCACAAAACUGUUAAGAUUAUAAUUUCAGACAUUUGAAAAAAUGGGUUAGCAUUAAUUAGAGUGGGAUUUUGACUUGUAAUGAAAAUUGAGAGGAUGGUAGUGUCUCUGGGACAAUUCCUUGCCUUUUGUGGACGCCCUAUAAAAGACCUAGGAAUACAUUUGUGUGUUAAAUACACUUUAUUGAAUGUCAUUUGUUAAUUGGAACAACCUUUUUGUCAUCGUAGGGAUAAGGUUGCGUACAUUUGGACCCAUUUGACCCUGCGCAAGGCGGGAUUCUUUGUAUAGGUGUUGGGAUGAUGUUGAUAGGUUUUUAUUCUUAGGUGAGUUUGGUUGGGUUGGGCAGUGUUUGUGGUGUGUGUGUGCCGUGCACGUGCUUGUUACUUUUAUGAAUGUUCUAAGAGUUUACAAUUCCAUCAAUUUCUUCUUUGGCUUACUUAAUCUUGCUUUUCUUUCACCAAACAAGUAUGCUCUAUGGACUGGAUGCAUUAAUUUGUUGUGAUGGACUUGGUUUGGAAUGUAAUGAAUAUGUUUGUGAUUUUGUUAGUCUAAUUGACUAUAUAUGUGCUGUUAAAUGGCUUUCUAACACGAGCAUAAUAUGAUUUUUUUACUACCACGAAAGUGAAUGAUUGAACAUUGGUUACUUAACCCAUACUAGUGGCAAAGUGCUUAAUUUCAAGUGAACACUGUCUAUGUUUUGCUCUCUUGAAGGCUUAGGGUGGUCAAUCGUUGGUGCACAUGACUAGUUUAUGUGUAUCAAUCAGAUUGUAGUUUAUCUGUGAAUAUUGUUUGAGUUGGAAGAAACUUGAUGUUUGAAGACCAUGGGUUCUUGUUGUGGCUUGCAGGUAUCAUUGUAAUCCAAGGAAAAAGUGUUGUCUGCACGGUGAAAGCAACAUCACUCUUUAAUUAAGCUUGGAUAAGCCCUUGAAUUUGAAGAAUUAAGAACUGUACAAAAAGCCAUCUGUUGAACUGGUGUUAUUUUCAUGCCUGCCCAAGCUCUUGGUUUUAUUCAUCAUCUGAUCUUUCUCUAGUUGUGAUCGUAGCGUACCUGAAAGCAACCCCAUUCUGAAAGGGCUGACCGAAGCUUUGCAAGUUCCUGUGUUGAGGAAGAGAGGAGUGAAAAGUCAAUGAGCAGAUUAUCUCUCCACAAAUCAGGGGCAUCAAUGGCUUCAGGGAAACCAUCUUUGUGGAGAUUGCUUAAUCAUACCUGAAAACAACCCCAUUGAAAGAGAGCUGAUCAGAUUUUUUCGAGUUCAGUUGCUGAGGAGGAAGAGAGAAGAGAUAAGAGAUAAAUCAAUAAUCAAUUUAUCUCUCCACAAAUCAGAGGCAUCAAUAGCUUCAGGGAAGCCAUCUUUGUGGAGAUUGAAAGAAUGAACAGGAGAAGUAGGAAGAAAGCAAGCUUACCUGAAAGCAACCCCAUUUGGAGAGAGCUGAUCGGAGCUUUGCAAGUUCAGGUUCAGAGUACGAAGAGAGAAGGGAAAAAUCAAUGAGCAAAUCACCUCUCCAUAAAUCAGGGGCAUCAAUGGCUUCAGGGAAACCAUCUUUGCGAAAAAAAACCUCUGUUAAAUAGGGCUGAUCAGAGCUAUACGAGUUCAGCUCCAGCAGCAGGUGCUGUGGAAAAAAAAAAAAAAAAAAAACUAGCUUUCAAAGAGCUUACUAUAUAAACUGCUAUUCAUACAAUCAUAGGUUAAGGGCAUGAACAAUGGCUUCAUCAAAACCACCUAUGUGCAGGAAUUCCUCUGAAAGAUAGAAUGAACGAGAGAGGCAGGAAGAAAUUAAGCUUACCUGAAAGCAACCCCAUUUGGAGAGAGCUGAUCGGAGCUUUGCAAGUUCAGGUUCAGAGUACGAAGAGAGAAGGGAAAAGUCAAUGAGCAAAUCACCUCUCCACAAAUCAGGGGCAUCAAUGGCUUCAGGAAAACCAUCUUUGCGGAAAAAAUCCUCUGUUAGAAGGCUCUGGAUCACACUUACCAAAUUACCAUGGACAGAGGAUUGAAAUCAAUUAUGCUUGUGAUUGAGAGCAUGUACAUCUGUCAGUUAAAGAGGGCUGAUCAGAGCUCGAUGAGUUCAGCUCCGGCAGCAGGUACUGUGGAAUAAAUAGAGUAGAGUUCAAAGAGCUUACUAUCUGCUAUUCAUGAAACCAUAAGUUAAGGGCAUGAACAAUGGCUUCAUCAAAACUACCUUUGUGCAGAAUUUUUCUGAAAGAUAGAAUGAACGAGAGAGGCAGGAAGAAAUUAAGCUUACCUGAAAGCAACCCCAUUUGGAGAGAGCUGAUCGGAGCUUUGCAAGUUCAGGUUCAGAGUACGAAGAGAGAAGGGAAAAGUCAAUGAGCAAAUCACCUCUCCACAAAUCAGGGGCAUCAAUGGCUUCAGGGAAAUCAUCUUUGCGGAAAAAAUCCUCUGACAGCACACUUACCUCUCCUAAUUCACCCAAGUUGAUUAACAGCGCGCCUGGGACGACUGAGACCUUAUACCAUUGAUCACCUUUCAAAAUCUGGAGACCAUCAACCUCAUUAUCUGGCAAGAGAUAUGUGAUCGUUGAGCCAUCCGAAUGAGGUUUGACCCCAAGAACACGUUCCGGGCAUGCAUGGGUAUCGAGAAACGAAGUUGAACCUUGCUAUUUUUGGUCCUUGUUUCCCAGAUUUGAAGCUGUUUUCUUCCAA